CAAAAUGUUUAAAUCAUUCAAAUUAACAAUCUAUUUAGAAGUUUCCAAGUUGGCGCAAAACUUUUAGCUUUGGUCCCAAUCCCAUGAAACUCUUGGGUCAUUUCUCAUCUCAUCUAUAAUUUAGCGGCAUGGGGUCAAGCUGUAAUUUACAUUCAUUUAAAAAUUAAUCUUAAUAAUCUAAGAACAUUUGAUGACUAAAUCAUGUUAUUAUACAACUUAACAAUAUCCC
This 229-nucleotide long non-coding RNA is filed under the name Citrus maxima (pomelo). RNAcentral describes it as "long non-coding RNA (CMAX_LNC002835)". Lineage: Eukaryota; Viridiplantae; Streptophyta; Magnoliopsida; Sapindales; Rutaceae. The record is from RNAcentral.